RNAcentral lists this long non-coding RNA (2420 nucleotides) under Astyanax mexicanus (Mexican tetra). RNAcentral's name for it is "lncRNA (ENSAMXG00005016413.1)". The record is from RNAcentral. Lineage: Eukaryota; Metazoa; Chordata; Actinopteri; Characiformes; Acestrorhamphidae.
UAUUAGUUAAGAUGUGCAAUAUCUGUACCUAACAAAACCAUGCUGCUAUUAAAACUGGAAUUUCUCCAAACAGUUGUGCUUUUUGUUUAAAAAAUAUUAAUUAUGUAAAUCUUUAUAUUCUUGUAGGAUGCUUACUCCUAGACCCCCAUAGUAAAAGCUUAGCGCCCCCAUUUAUAGUCUCUAGUGAUGGCCCUGCUAUAUAGUAGAUAAUAAGAAGGGAAAGAUGUUUCAGAGGCAUUUCAUUUUCUAACAAUGUAAUGUUUUUAUUAAUUUAUGUUAAAUAAUGGCAAAACAUACUGUUUGUUAUAUGCUGUAUGUUGGUUAUUGUGCCUGGUGAAGGUGAACACUGUGUUUUCCACAGAAAACCCGCUGCCACUCAGCGCGUCGGAGAGGGUGAUGGGGGUCCUGGGAUGGGUGGUGGCCCUGGGCGUGAUCCUCAGUAUAGCAGGAAUUGCAUUUUUGGUCAACAAACAGCAGAGAAACAAGCAGUCUGAGAACGACGGUGACUCGAACAACUCGUCUCCAGGCCGUAAAAAAACUUCCUCUUCUAAAAAGAAACCGGCUGAUGACUUCCAGGCUCCGGGGAGGUUAUAUGACGAGCUCCCGAACACAGCUGACUAUGUGAGUUAUCGUCUGGCGUGUAAUAAAGACGACUACAUGGAGCAGCACUCUCCACCUAUCCAGCCUCCGCUCACCUUUCUGCCCCAGAACCCCUACACCCAGCACGCCACCCACACCAGCACCUUCACCUACCCCACACCACCCGCACCCAUCUCCUCAUACACAUUCCCUAAAGAACAGUACGUAUAAACUCACACACACACACACACACACCUCUUCAUAUUUGACCUCUGCUCUCACUCUCUGCAGUGUAUGUAUUUGUAAUAACUAAGAAUAUGUUUAUGUUGCUUUCUUUCUUUUUUACGUCUUCUUCCUAACAUGCAUGUUGGGUGCGUUUGUAAAUGUUUGUGAAAUAUGACAAAUAGCAUUUGAAUGAUAAUUUAUUCUCGUACGUCUGUAUCACUGAACUGUUUUGCAUAUUGUUCUUAAAUCGAGUGCACGCCACUGCACUCUGCACCCACACUACAAUAUUCUGAGUGUAUAUUUACUGUACCUUGAUGGCCAUCCUCACAGUGCAUUCAUAAAGUCAUGAUAAACGGUUUUGUGUAAUAGUUUUUCUUAUUAUUUUUUACUAUUAUUAUUUAGUUAAAUGUAGUUUAGGUUUUGUACGUUAUGUUGUUCACUGCUUACUGAAGAAAAAAAACAGCAAGUUAAAGCAUAUUAAAGCAGCACUAUCUCUGCAACACUGCUGAAAGACUCUGGACUAUACAUACACUCUGUUAAAAUCUAAAGUCUUAUGUUUUCUUUAUGAAGCUAUAAACAGUGUAUAUUCUGUAUAUAUGUACGUUUAUUUUAUAUGAACAGCGUAAUAUUUGGGGAAAAUUGUCCAGAAUAUCUUAUUCUGGUCCUGUACAACUGUUUACAUUAUUAUAUAUAUAUGUUAUAAUACGCUUUAUGUCAAUUUAUUUAUGAUCUUUUUUGCUUGUUGCUGUUUUCAUGAUAAGCAAAUUAGGGAUGCAUGAUGAUAUCAGAAUUAUAUCGGUAUCGGCCGAUAUGUCCAAUGAUUUAAAUUGAUACUUGCUGGUGUAUUUAUUGUAUGCCAGAAAUGGACCAAUCGAUGCUGGCCACGCUAAAACAGUUGGCUGCACUUCUUUUAAAAUUAAUUGAUUAAAAAGUCAUUUUAUUUAUUUGUUUUACUUUUAAAGUUGUAAAGUUAUGCCAGGGUGUCUAGCUUCUCUGUAUAUUACAAAUGUGUAUAUCAGUAUUGGCAUUGGCAGAUAUAUACAUGUGUAAUAUAUCUGGACGUUUUUUUUCUUUUUACAUUUUUUCAUGUUACACCCACAAACUUAAUUGUAUUUUAUUAAGAUUUUAUGUGAUAGACCAACAUAAGGUAGCAGUUAAUUGGAACGUGAAAAGUUUUUAAUAUUUUUUAACAAAUAUGUAACAUAAAAAUAUGAAAAUUUCAAGGUGUAUGAAUACUUUUUUAAAGCAUGUAAACGAUUACACACAAAAAAAUCCCCCUUAUAACUUCAAAGUAAAUAAGAGACCGCUCAUAAGACUUUCUUGAAUAUUGUAUUAUCACCGUAUAGAAUUUUAAAUCACAAUAUUACUGUGUGACGAUAUACAGCUCUGGAAAAUAUGUCUUUUGAUUUGAACAAAUUUAAAAUAUCUGCGAUUUUCUCAAUGCGGCUCAGCCUAAACAGACAGAUCCAAAUCCAGUCAGCUUAAACAUCAAGCCAACUUGACAAACUUGUCACUGAUGAGAAAGGAAAAUAGCCAGCUUCUUUGAUGAAACCGAAACUUCCUGUGAAGCAUUGCUAUUCUGGGUAUUAAACAAUAAAAAAUAUGUAGUGUGAACA